UUUUAGGUGAAGCUCGCAUGGCCCCCAAGAAAGUUCGUCCUCUCAUGAAACUAAACGUAUAAGAAUCAACCUAGAGAAGCGAGCCAUCUUGUUGGAAGAUGAGGUGAAGGGGGAGGCUGAACGAGGGAAGGUACUACUCAGUCUCAAGUACGCCAAACAGAGGAGUGCUCUCAUCGUUGGUAUCGUCCGCUGUGCCCACCUUCCUUCCAUGGACUCCAACGGCUUCUCAGAUCCUUACGUCAAAGUGCAACUUAAACCAGAUCCAACCCACAAAAAGUAUCGCACUGCCAUCAAGUGGAAGAAUCUAAAACCCAGAAUUCAAUGAGGAGUUUGU
Non-coding RNA from Cherax quadricarinatus, 334 nucleotides. The record is from RefSeq and is a predicted model, not a curated record. NCBI's taxonomy places the organism in Eukaryota, Metazoa, Arthropoda, Malacostraca, Decapoda, Parastacidae.